Molecule: long non-coding RNA, 604 nt
Organism: Mesoplodon densirostris (Blainville's beaked whale)
Lineage: Eukaryota; Metazoa; Chordata; Mammalia; Artiodactyla; Ziphiidae
Exons: 5
Source: RefSeq, a predicted model, not a curated record
UUGAGGAAGGUUAUACACUUUCUGAUAUUCUUAAUGAUAUCACUAAGGAAGACCUAAGGUACCUCAGACUACGUGCUGGUCUCCUCUGCAGGCUCUGGACUGCAGACUCCCAGUACAGAAGACAGGCUCAGGGGGCCCCGGCAACCCAAGAUGAGGCUUAAUCAAUCAGCUAAGCCAGGGGACGGAGGGAGCAAAGAGCAGACAACAUACACACGAAUUCUGCUGCACUUACACAAGGAAAACACCACUCGUUCAAUGAACAAUUUAAGAAACUGAAGUUCUGAAGAAUUAUGGAAAAAAUUUUAACCUUUUAUUUACCAACAUGUUUUCAAGGAGAGAAAUGAUGGUUCAGUGUGAACAGGCUUCAGCACCGACAUGCACACGAAUGGGGGCGUGUGUGCACACCAGACCUUCAUUCUACACUCAAAGACUUAUUACGGCUUACUUUGACUAAAUCUACUCUUAAUUAUGCCACACUCCGGGACUGCAGCAUUACCUGCCAGCGUUACCAGGUAGCACCAUUCAAAGCCCAUCCACUAACGACACCACACUCAGUUUUCCCAUGACCAUACCUGACUCCAGGAUCACUCAUGCUGUGUCCAUG